GCGCGCGUCGCUCCACGGCCGGAGCACCGGUUCUUGCAGCCGGACGCCGGAGGUUCGACUCCUCCCGCGCGCA
Molecule: transfer RNA, 73 nt
Filed under: Cellulosimicrobium composti
Lineage: Bacteria; Bacillati; Actinomycetota; Actinomycetes; Micrococcales; Promicromonosporaceae
Description: Cellulosimicrobium sp. BIT-GX5 tRNA-Gln
Rfam family: tRNA
About the family: Transfer RNA (tRNA) molecules are approximately 80 nucleotides in length. Their secondary structure includes four short double-helical elements and three loops (D, anti-codon, and T loops). Further hydrogen bonds mediate the characteristic L-shaped molecular structure. tRNAs have two regions of fundamental functional importance: the anti-codon, which is responsible for specific mRNA codon recognition, and the 3' end, to which the tRNAs corresponding amino acid is attached (by aminoacyl-tRNA synthetases). tRNAs cope with the degeneracy of the genetic code in two manners: having more than one tRNA (with a specific anti-codon) for a particular amino acid; and 'wobble' base-pairing, i.e. permitting non-standard base-pairing at the 3rd anti-codon position.
Source: RNAcentral